GACGAACGCUGGCGGCGUGCCUAAUACAUGCAAGUAGGACGCUGAAGGAGGAGCUUGCUUCUCUGGAUGAGUUGCGAACGGGUGAGUAACGCGUAGGUAACCUGCCUGGUAGCGGGGGAUAACUAUUGGAAACGAUAGCUAAUACCGCAUAAUAGUAGAUGUUGCAUGACAUUUGCUUAAAAGGUGCAAUUGCAUCACUACCAGAUGGACCUGCGUUGUAUUAGCUAGUUGGUGGGGUAACGGCUCACCAAGGCGACGAUACAUAGCCGACCUGAGAGGGUGAUCGGCCACACUGGGACUGAGACACGGCCCAGACUCCUACGGGAGGCAGCAGUAGGGAAUCUUCGGCAAUGGACGGAAGUCUGACCGAGCAACGCCGCGUGAGUGAAGAAGGGUUUCGGAUCGUAAAGCUCUGUUGUAAGAGAAGAACGAGUGUGAGAGUGGAAAGCUCACACUGUGACGGUAUCUGACCAGAAAGGGACGGCUAACUACGUG
Molecule: ribosomal RNA, 495 nt
Filed under: uncultured bacterium
Lineage: Bacteria
Description: partial 16S ribosomal RNA
Rfam family: Bacterial small subunit ribosomal RNA
Source: RNAcentral